This 253-nucleotide ribosomal RNA is filed under the name uncultured bacterium. RNAcentral describes it as "partial 16S ribosomal RNA". It matches the Rfam family "Bacterial small subunit ribosomal RNA", at positions 524 to 776 of the family's 1533-position model. The record is from RNAcentral.
UACGUAGGGUGCGAGCAUUAAUCGGAAUUACUGGGCGUAAAGCGUGCGCAGGCGGUUCGCAAAGUCUGAUGUGAAAGCCCCGGGCUCAACCUGGGAACUGCAUUGGAAACUAACGGGCUCGAGUGUGGCAGAGGGGGGUGGAAUUCCACGUGUAGCAGUGAAAUGCGUAGAGAUGUGGAGGAACACCGAUGGCGAAGGCAGCCCCCUGGGCUAACACUGACGCUCAGGCACGAAAGCGUGGGGAGCAAACAGG